CCUUUUAGGUUCGAAGUUUGUUCUAACAUUUGCCACACAUGAGAUCCUGAUCGUCUUUCUCCUAGUGUUGUUGCUUGCAGGGGGAAGGAAAGUGGGGUUUCCAAUCAGGGUCGAAGAUGGUCAAACUUUAGGUCUAGGCAGGUUGACAGGUUUUGCCAACGAUUUCAAAAGAUUGAAUCUUUUUUGCUCAACCAAAGUUAAGGAGUUCUAGAGCACGAGGGAAUGGGCUCUCAUUCUCGAGAUCGUCUCGUCUAUGUACUCGCUCCCCCAAUUGCUUGAAGAUGCACGUGCGGUAUGAUAAAGAGCCCCAAGGUUGGAACUAAUGAAAAGCCAGGGUAGAGCCUCAGAGUCGGCCCAACCGGAGAUCGACACAGCCCACCAAAAGGAAAGUCAUAGAGACGGUAGAUUGGGAGGUUACAAUUUUAGUUUUCCUAUUUAAAUUUUCGAUAGUGUCUGUAGGAAGCGUAGAUGGUGGAUUAGGUGAGAACAUUCAACCAAAGGCGUAUUGGAGAUCGACAAUAGCUAAGCAUUGCGGCCAUCACAGUUCAAGUUACGUAUGGCUAGUGCACAACCUAUGGGCUUCUUAGGUAAAACAAAAACAACAAAAAAAGGAUGCCUGGUUUGGUACCUUUAGUCCAAUCUUAGACAAAGAGAAAGGAGGAUACGAAGCACAGCUAGGUAGACCAUGGUCCAAACCAGGGUGGUUCAUGACUAGGCUAAAAAAAUAGUCUAAAGCAGGGAAACGUCGGAUGGAAGGUGGAAAAGGCUUGGCUUUGUUUCAUAGAACUAAGGAAAUUUCGUUUCCAUAAUGGUGAUGCUAAUAUAUAUAUGCAAGAUCAAAGACGCGAUUUGCGCGGGUCCACAUUUUUUUUAAGAUAGUAAUGAGGCGAUUUGUUCGCUGGGUGAUUCCGCUAGCCAAAUCGUACUAAUGCAAUUCAUUCUCUCUACUAUCCUACAGAGCAAUUCAAACAUUUAGUAAGAGCUAGGGUGACUCAUUCUAUUCUCUUUGAGGCAGGUAAGUAAAGCGUCUAGCUUAGGGGGCACGUCAAAUUGCUAAAAGGCCUUGGUGAUUCUCUAAUUUGUAAUUUGAAAAUAGAAAACCAAAAUGAUUCCAAACUUUACUUCAAUCAAUAGUCUCGUAUCCAUGCUGCUCCGACUCCAAACUCGAUGUAAGCGAGACAUUCCCAAACUCUUUAUCAAACUCCUUUCUCGUUCCCUUGUACAAACUUGACCAGGCAGUUUUCAUUAUGUGUUCUUUGCAGUGUCUAGGAAGGUUAGGAGUGAAUUAAGCCAAUGUGUAUAAAUAGAUAGACUAGGUUCAUCCUUUUUUAUUAUGUUAAGGUCAAUGCAAGUCUGUCUAUGAUUAAGAGUCUAUGUGUUGUUGAAGCUGGCUUAUUCAUGCUAGUAAUCUUAGAGCUAUGAGUCAAAACAAUGUUCACCAACUCUUCCAUAAUAAUCUUGUUCAUAUUCAUAUAUCAAAAAAGCUUUUAAAAUAUGAGUUAAAAUAGUUAUAUUAAAGUGUAUUGUCUCUUCCCAAGGUAGCAUUGCUGAGCGGGCGAUCACUAUCUUGUUUAUCCAGUUAGCUUUUCUCCAUGGUACUCAAAUUCUAUUUGUUUAUCCAGUUCCCAAGGUAGCAUGCCCUACUUUCCUUGUUCUUACCAUCGAUGCUACUCCUUUCUCCAAAAAGAAAAGAUAGAAAAUAAUUCUUCUGUCCAAAGCCUUGUAACUUCAAGAGGAGCGGUGCCUCCUCACAAAGGGAGUCGUAGUGACCAUGCCCGGGUGACUGUUUACCAGAAACAUAGGUCUUCGUAAAGUUGUAAGACCAUGUAUAGGGGCUGACGCCUACCCAAUGCUAGAAGGUCAAGGAAGUUGGUGACCUGAUGACAGGAGAGUCGACGAUCGAAGCCCGACGAACAACAAUUGUAACUAUAACGGUCCUCAGGUAGCGAAAUUCCUUGUUGGGUAAGUUUUGGCCCGCACGAAAGGUGUAACGAUCUGGGCACUGUCUCAGAGAGAGGCUCGGUGAAAUAGGCAUGUCUACGAAGAUGCAAACUACCCGCACUUAGACACAAAGGCCCUAUGAAGCUUCACUGUUCCCUGGGAUUGGCUUUGGGCUUUUAUUGUGCAACUUAGGUGGAAGGCAAAGAAGGCCUCCUUCUGAGGGGCUCGAGCCAUCAGUGAGAUACCACUUUGGAAGAGCUAGAAUUCUAACCUUGUGUCAGGACCUACAAGCCAAGGGACAGUCUCAAGUAGAUAGUUUCUAUGGGGCGUAGGCCUCCCAAAAGAUAACGGAGGUGUGCAAAGGUUCCCUUAGGCCGAACGAAGAUUGGCCCUCGAAUGUAAAGGCGGAAGGGAGCUUGACUGCAAGACCAACCCAUCGAGCAGGGACAAAUGUCAGCCUUAGUGAUCCGACGGUACCAAGUGGAAGGGUCAUCGCUCAACAGAUAAAAGUUACUUUAGGGAUAACAAACUGAUCUUAGCUAAGAUCUCACAUCGACGGGAAGGUUUGGCACCUCGAUGUCGGCUCUUCACCACCUAGGGCUGUAGUAUGUUCCAAGGGUUAGGCUAUUCUCCUAUUAAAGCGGUACGUGAGCUGGGUUUAGAACGUCGUGAGAUAGUUCGAUCGAUAUCCGAUGUGGGCGUUAGAGCAUGGAGAGGACCUUUCCCUAGUACGAGAGGAUUAAGAAGGACGCACCUCUAGUGUACCAGUUAUCAUGCCCAUAGUAAACGUUGGGUAGCCAAAUGCAAAGUGAAUAAUUGCUAAAAGCAUCUAAGUAGUAAGCCCACCCUAAGAUGAGUGCUCUCCUAUUCCGAUUCCCUAAAGCCUCCGGUAGCAUAGCUGACAUAGUAAAGGGUUCUCUAUACAAUACGUAGGUGUUCGUGUCAAGGGUAACCCCAUUUGAGACAAACUAGGCCUAGAACUGAUUUAUAUCAUACCUAGCACCUAGGGUAACUUUAUUCAUAUAGACUAAGGGUUGGGAAGAGAGAUUUUUGAUCUCCCUUU
Molecule: ribosomal RNA, 3004 nt
Filed under: Gossypioides kirkii
Lineage: Eukaryota; Viridiplantae; Streptophyta; Magnoliopsida; Malvales; Malvaceae
Description: bacterial LSU rRNA
Rfam family: Bacterial large subunit ribosomal RNA (bases 1616-2930)
Source: RNAcentral